RNAcentral lists this unclassified non-coding RNA (145 nucleotides) under uncultured Hymenoscyphus. Its description in RNAcentral is "sequence contains ITS2". Lineage: Eukaryota; Fungi; Ascomycota; Leotiomycetes; Helotiales; Helotiaceae. The record is from RNAcentral.
AUACCAACUCCUCUGUAUAGAGGGUCUUGGGCUUCGCCUCCGGGCGGGCCUUAAAAUCAGUGGCGGUGCCUGUAGGCUCUACGCGUAGUAAUACUCCUCGCGAUAGAUCCCUAUGGGUAUCUUGCCAGCAACCCCCAACUUCUUA